This is a non-coding RNA of Triticum aestivum (bread wheat), 135 nucleotides long. The record is from Rfam. Lineage: Eukaryota; Viridiplantae; Streptophyta; Magnoliopsida; Poales; Poaceae.
GUAGUACUCCCUCCGUGCUAAAAUUCUUGUCUUAACUUUAUCUAAAUACGGAUGUAUCAAAUCACAUUUUAAUAUUAGAUACAUUCAUAUCUAGAUAAAUUUAAGACAAAAAUUUUAGGACGGAGGGAGUACUUU